Molecule: long non-coding RNA, 546 nt
Filed under: Homo sapiens (human)
Lineage: Eukaryota; Metazoa; Chordata; Mammalia; Primates; Hominidae
Description: HSALNT0351667
Source: RNAcentral
CUCAAGGCCCGCCCAUUAGGGGAGGGGACAAACGGGUUUCUGUGCUUUACGGCCUCUUCGCGACGCUAGAACGGAAGCCUGCCCGUAGCUAGGCCUUUGCUUUCUUUUCCUCACUUCCUUCGCGUGGCUGCAAUCGGGAAGGGCGGAGCUAGUUUGUUCCUUUUGGUCAGGGAGAAAAGAAACUUUACAAUAAAGAAACCGGGGAGAUGCCACCUUAACCAAAUGAUCGCAGGUCAGUCUGUCAAGCAGUACCCUGUCACUGGUGGCUAAGAAGAUGAAGAUAACUACCCAUGGGAUUCCAUGAACAGAGCAGUCAUCUCUACUGACCUCAGCCACAAAACACCAGCCUUUCUAGCUUCCCUGGAUCCUUUGCUAACUGUGUUUUUUUCUGGGAUAGUAUGUGGUUCUCUAUUUGGCUUGAGAACAGAACACUCCUUCAAAUGGUUGAAGUAUCUUCAUUAUAUACAUGGUCUGCGCUUUAUCAUACUAAUUUUUUUUUCGAGGCAAGUUCUCACUCUGUCGUCCAGGCUGGAGUGCAGUGGCAUG